RNAcentral lists this long non-coding RNA (547 nucleotides) under Capsicum annuum. RNAcentral describes it as "long non-coding RNA (CANN_LNC013734)". Lineage: Eukaryota; Viridiplantae; Streptophyta; Magnoliopsida; Solanales; Solanaceae. The record is from RNAcentral.
AACCACCCCCUGGAGUGCUUGGAGUUCCGGGGUCAAUGGUAGGAGUAGGUGGUGUUUCAAUGAUUGGAGUAGUUGGGGUAGUAGGUGUAGGGGAAGGAUAGUAACCACCACCCCCUGGAGUGCUUGGAGUACCAGGGUCAACGGUAGGCGUAGGUGGUGUUUCAAUGGUAGGUGUAGAGGGGGUGGUAGGUGUAGGUGUAGGCGAAGGAUAGUAGCCACCACCACCUGGAGUGCUUGGAGUUCCGGGGUCAGCGGUAGGAGUAGGUGGUGUUUCAAUAGUAGGUGCGGAGGGAGUGGAUGGUGUACUAGGGGUACUAGGUGUAGGAGUACUUGGAGUCGGGGAAGGAUAGUAGCCACUUCCACCCCCUGGAGUACUUGGAGUGCCAGGGUCUGGAGUUGGGGUUACAACAGGUGUAGAGGGGGUGGAUGGUGUACUAGGGGUACUAGGUGUUGGAGUACUAGGAGGGCUUCCUCCACCAUGAUGAGCUGGUGGAGAGGGAGAAUAACCACCACCUCCAUGACCGCCUGAUGGAGGAGAUGGGGUAGG